UGGGGAAUCUUGGACAAUGGGGGAAACCCUGACGCAGCCAUGCCGCGUGAGUGAAGAAGGUCUUCGGAUCGUAAAGCUCUUUCAACGGUGAAGAUGAUGACGGUAGCCGUAGAAGAAGCCCCGGCUAACUUCGUGCCAGCAGCCGCGGUAAUACGAAGGGGGCAAGCGUUGUUCGGAAUUACUGGGCGUAAAGGGCGUGUAGGCGGUCUAAUCAGUCAGAGGUGAAAGCCCUGGGCUCAACCCAGGAAUUGCCUUUGAUACUGUUAGACUAGAGUUCGGGAGAGGGUAGUGGAAUUCCCAGUGUAGAGGUGAAAUUCGUAGAUAUUGGGAAGAACACCAGUGGCGAAGGCGGCUACCUGGACCGAUACUGACGCUGAGGCGCGAAAGCGUGGGGAAGCAAACGAGGAUUAGAUACCCUGGUAGUCCACGCCGUAAACGAUGUCUGCUAGUCGUUGGGGGCGUAGCCCUUCAGUGACGCCGCUAACGCAUUAAGCAGACCGCCUGGGGAGUACGGCCGCAAGGUU
RNAcentral lists this ribosomal RNA (524 nucleotides) under uncultured bacterium. RNAcentral's name for it is "bacterial SSU rRNA". It matches the Rfam family "Bacterial small subunit ribosomal RNA", at positions 355 to 895 of the family's 1533-position model. The record is from RNAcentral.